GAGUUGGAUGAUAGCUGCUGGAUGACUAUCUAUAUCUUUGAUGGCACGUUAGUAAUAGAUCGAUGUGAAAUAGCUGAUACCGAUGACUAUCUGAACUGGGCAUCAUGCCUUUAGUAUUGAUAAUCAUAUUGAUUGAGUACCCCAGUAAGGUGAUGCAGAUCGGAUACAAAUCGAGAUGAGCGUUCCAUCUACUAGCAGUGCUGGAUUAAGUCGACUAACAGAUGGUACAGAAGAGGCAGAUCGGUUAUAGGCCGAUG
This 257-nucleotide long non-coding RNA is filed under the name Elaeis guineensis (African oil palm). RNAcentral's name for it is "long non-coding RNA (EGUI_LNC047009)". The record is from RNAcentral. Lineage: Eukaryota; Viridiplantae; Streptophyta; Magnoliopsida; Arecales; Arecaceae.